Molecule: ribosomal RNA, 756 nt
Filed under: uncultured bacterium
Lineage: Bacteria
Description: bacterial SSU rRNA
Rfam family: Bacterial small subunit ribosomal RNA
Source: RNAcentral
AGAGUUUGAUCAUGGCUCAGAAUCAACGCUGGCGGCGCGCUUAACACAUGCAAGUCGAACGAGAAAGUGGAGCAAUCCAUGAGUACAGUGGCGUACGGGUGAGUAACACGUGGGUAAUCUACCUCUUAGUGAGGAAUAACCCUGGGAAACCGGGGCUAAUACCGCAUAAGCCUGAGAAGGGAAAGCAGCAAUGCGCUGAGAGAGGAGCCCGCGGCCGAUUAGCUAGUUGGUGAGGUAAGAGCCCACCAAGGCAGAGAUCGGUAGCCGGCCUGAGAGGGCACACGGCCACACUGGCACUGAAACACGGGCCAGACUCCUACGGGAGGCAGCAGUGGGGAAUCUUGCACAAUGGGGCAACCCUGAUGCAGCGACGCCGCGUGAGCGAUGAAGCCCUUCGGGGUGUAAAGCUCUUUCGUCAGGGAAGAUAGUGACGGUACCUGGAGAAGCAGCUGCGGCUAACUACGUGCCAGCAGCCGCGGUAAUACGUAGGCAGCGAGCGUUGUUCGGAGUUACUGGGCGUAAAGGGUGUGUAGGCGGUUCUUUAAGUUUGGUGUGAAAUCUCCCGGCUCAACCGGGAGGGUGCGCCGAAUACUGAGGGACUAGAGUGUGGGAGAGGAAAGUGGAAUUCCUGGUGUAGCGGUGAAAUGCGUAGAUAUCAGGAGGAACACCGGUGGUGUAGACGGCUUUUCUGGACCAUAACUGACGCUGAGACACGAAAGCGUGGGUAGCAAACAGGAUUAGAUACCCUAGUAGUCC